RNAcentral lists this transfer RNA (72 nucleotides) under Camelus bactrianus (Bactrian camel). It matches the Rfam family "tRNA". From Rfam's summary of the family: Transfer RNA (tRNA) molecules are approximately 80 nucleotides in length. Their secondary structure includes four short double-helical elements and three loops (D, anti-codon, and T loops). The record is from Rfam by way of RNAcentral. Lineage: Eukaryota; Metazoa; Chordata; Mammalia; Artiodactyla; Camelidae. RNAcentral also lists the same sequence under 2 other names.
GGGUAUAUAACUCAAUGGUAGAGUGCAUGCCUAGCAUGCACAAGAUCCAGGGUUCAAUCCCCAGUACCUCCA